AUGUAUUUAUGGGACCUUGCAUUGCGAGAGGGAUGCAUUGGAUACAUUAAGUAUGUACUUAAAAGCAGCUUGAUGAAACUUCUGAUUUUCGGUUGGGCAUUUCAUAUAUUAGAGUUCAUCCCGGUGGAAAGGAAGUGGGGAGUUGAUGAGUCGACUAUGCAUCAAAUGCUUUCUAUAUUCAAGGACCCGCAAGAUCCUCUAUGGCUUGUUAUUUUCCGCGGGGGCACUCAUUUUACUGAACAGAAGUGCAUUCGAAGUCAAAAAUAUGAUGCCGAACAAUUGAAGUAA
Molecule: non-coding RNA, 288 nt
Organism: Vicia faba (fava bean)
Lineage: Eukaryota; Viridiplantae; Streptophyta; Magnoliopsida; Fabales; Fabaceae
Source: the annotation of a GenBank genome assembly